This is a long non-coding RNA of Gasterosteus aculeatus aculeatus (three-spined stickleback), 7702 nucleotides long. The record is from Ensembl. Lineage: Eukaryota; Metazoa; Chordata; Actinopteri; Perciformes; Gasterosteidae.
AUAUUUAUAUAUAUAUAUAUAUAUUUGCUUCUCUCAUAUAUAUAUAUAUUUGUUCAACAUCCACUAUUAAACUAUUAGUUUUUUUACUUUUCUGCAUUGGAAAAAAAUUGGAUUCUUGUAACUGAGUAUUUCAAAGUGCUGUAGCCUGUUUUUUUCACGUAGCAUUUGUUCCAUUAUAGCACAUAUUAACAAACCGCAGAUGAAAUGACAUGAAAUCAGCUGUUAACACUCUGAUGUGUAACCGUCAUCCGUUUGUGUUGCAGCAGCAUCUUAGACCUUCAACAUUGAUUAUUUAUGAACUAUCAAUACUUCAACAAACGGUCCAUCUGUCCAAUCUGCACAGCAUCUGCCACCCGCAGCUUGGUCUCUUUUUUUUAUGAAUAUCAACCCGACCACAUUGUGCACUGCAGUGAAGGCAGCUCUGCAGGUUGUGUGUUUGUGGGGAGGGAGGGGGGCAGCUUGUGCGUGGUGGUGAUGAUGAUGAUGCGUGUGACGCCACGAGCAGGAGCGCAGCAGCAGACAGGACCCGGGCUGAAGCAGCAGCAGCAGCAGCGCCGCCACUAAAUACUAGAAUAUUAUUAUAUUAAUUUUUGCAGGCUAAAUUGUGGUAUAUGUGCAUACAGACCAUAUAGGUCUCCUGUAUUGCUUAUAUACACAUAUAAGCCCUAUGUACAUACAAGAUAUGUCUUAUACAGCUCAUGGCAGGAUCUGGUCAUUAUACAGCUCAUAUCUCACUGUCAUACAUGAUGCCUAGCUCAUAUUAUUAUCAAAGCAUUAAUUAAGAACUAAGUAAAAUAAAAAUUCUGAAAGAACUUAGUAAUUAGUAUCACGUGUAUAUGUGAUGUUAUGGAAUUUAACUAUGGCAAUUAAGUGAGAGGAGAUGGAAAGCUCUGAUGGCUACACAUUUUCAAAUCUUUCUUGUAUGAAGAUAGUGGUAAAGAAGAAAAUGUAUAACAAAAUGGCUCGUGUUUUUAUUUUAUUUUGUCAAUCAAGCCUUUUUUUUGCAAUGUCAAGUCACUUAUUCACAUUACAGCUCAUACACAUCCACACAUUCACAUUAAUGCAGUUUCUAAAUGAAUAUGGCUGAAAGGUCAUUAGUCUAAAUGUAGCAAAAAGUAAUCUUCAUCAUCAUCCCAUAUCUAUCUGAGUAUUUCACUGUGGUUAAUUAAUUUGAACACAAUGUCAACAUUUCCGUACACGGUUUUAACGAACAGACACUUUCAUUUCCAAAAAGAAGAGCAUGCGAGAAGAGAGGAGAUGAGAAAAGAGAGAGAAAGAGAGAGGGAGGCAUAGAGAAAGCGGGAGACAGGAGGGAGGGAUACAGUUGGAGGGAGGUAGGGACACACAGACAGAUAAGGAGACAGAAGCAUUCCCGCUAUGCCACAUAUGUUUACAUGAUACCUGUAGCUGGUAGCUUUGUAGCUAGCUUCUAGCAUGUUACUUUCGUUUACGUCUUCGCUUAGUUCUUUCUGGAACGGAUGCUUCGUCGUUGACGAGGUACCUUUUGUAACGUACUGGAUCCAUUAUUUUUCUUUAUUUGUUGCUUAUUUACCACAGACCGUAAAGCAUACUGGCAAGCAUGUAUCCACUCUGCUCCGAUCGGCCGCUACAGAGUCGCGUGCGAAUGACGUCAUCAACCGCGCUGGGCCACUUGUUGAUGACGUCAUUCCCAUGCAGGCGCGAACGCGCCGAAAGAUAACGGCUGGGACUAAGUAUAAAGUAUUAAAAAUGGAGACAUCAGCGUUCCGCUAUGUCCUACUUGAAUGGACUGAGGGUGAUGAUCGUGGGGCGCAUAGUAUUUUGGCGAUGGACUGUGUCCGGAACUUUUCAGUUCAAGAUUUUUUUGCCUCGACUGAACAAAACGAGAAGCUGGUGGAAUGACGAAAAGGCCGCCAACCCUGGCCGGUUCACCGAGCCAAAAUUGUUGACGUGGCAAGUAAGUUAUGUUACAUUUCUAUUAUGUAUAUCACAUUAAAUUUUGCUCGCACUUAAAGAAGUGUAAAAUGGAUCUUGUUACCUGACUAGCUUAGUAUGCUGGCUGUUAGCUACCUAAUUUGCUAAUGCUACCUAAGUCUCUUAAUUGGGACUAAUGCUACGUUUGGUAACGUUAAACAUGAUUAGACAAACGUUUGCAGUAAACAUUUCAAUUUUAUUGCACCAGAAUUUGAAAAACCUCUCCAAAUUAAACUGCGUGAGAUUGAGGUGGAGAAAGAGGGCACACAAACAAAACGUCCUCACAUCCCAAACUCAAAGUACAUUGAGCAGCAGGGGAAGACUGAGAAGGCUUCAAAAAAAAAGGUAACUGACUGCACCAAUUGGUGCUUUAGUUCAAGUUAUCUCCCCUCUCUUGUUUCUUAAUGUGUAGGCAUGUUUGUAGAUUUGUAAUUGUGUCAUCUUUGAUGAUUUAAUGUGCUUUGACAAGAUAUAUGUGCAAGCUGGUGUAACGCAAGUUAAUAAGAGUUGAGCUAAAAGUCAGUCUGUGUCUUUCUGUCGGUUGACAAUAAAAAGGGAGGGUCUUCCAAAUACAAGCACCAGGAGGGUGAGAAGCAGGAGGAGGGUCAUGACAGACUUUCAAAGAACAAGGUACACUACCAGUCGUCCUGUGUGUGCUGUUACAUUACAAUACAUUCAUGGUUCCUCUGUUUCUCCCUCUCCCUCCAAAGGUUGCCGUGAAAAAGAAAAAUCUUUCUAAAUACGAGGAGGAGGAGGAGGAGGAAGUGGAUGAUGAGGCACGUCAUGACACAAAGAACAAGGUACACUACCAGUCUGCAUCCAGUGUGUGUUAUUACAUUGCAAUACAGUAAAGAUAAGUAAGACUUUUAUAAUAAAGUGCAUUACCAGUAGCUGUUACAAGGUAUGACACCAGCACAGUAGGCAACUUUGUCCUCUCUCUUUCUCUCUCCCUCCCAGCGGGCCAGAGAAGAGGAGGAGCAUAUUGGGGAUGAAGACGACAAAGUACCAGCCUCAAAGAAAAAGGUAGCCUAAAUGAUGACAUCCGGUGUGUGGUGUAGACGUCUGUGCCGUAGACGUCUUGCUACCUUCCUCUUACAUUUCUUAUGACAUCCUCCCAGAAAAUCAGAAUCAACCAUUUACAAAAGUUAAAGUUAUAUAACAAUUAGCUGUUGUUCUUCUCUGUAUUUCUCUUUCUCAUAGAGUGCUGCUGAAUUUAGAAAGCAACUGGACGAACAGAUGUGGGAGAGAAAAAAAAUUGAACAAAUGCAAAGAAAUUUGCAGGAGUUGCGAAAUGAAGUUCAGUCUCUCAAAAGUGAAAAUGCACAUCUGAAAGAUGUUCUGGAAUGGGAAGCAACCUGAAUGGUACAAAAACAUGUUGCUAAUCUCUUCUGUCCUUAAAAAAACAAAAAACAAGUCAGUCAUAUUCUGUGUAAUGAAUCAUGUUUGUGUGCGGGCAUACCAUCGCUUUUGUACUUGCCAUUUUUGUAUUUCCUUGCACCUCAAGAAAACGUAAUGUGUGUGUGUUACGACCCCCUGGAUGGUCUAGGGGUGCGGGGACCAUAAACAUAUAGGCAGAACCUGGUCGGGUGUAAAAGGGUAGUAUUUAUUGGCAACCAGAGGUAAACAGGCACGUAACAACAAACAAAAGGAGGGUGGAUGAGGGUGCUGUGAAAAGACAAACUAAGUAAAAUAAAAGAGAUCCCCAAAAGGAGAACUAUGCCUGAAUAUACGUUAAAACAAACAGUAGGCGCUUACCAUAAAAAACACAAAGAGCACAGCACCCACUACACCUAUGAAGCUAACAAACACAGAACUACGUGUGGUGAAAUCAGUAUAGACUCUGGCCCUAACUCACCCCCUUUUGUCAGCUCCGUGCUGGCAAAAACACACAGAACCAAAGCACAGUUCUCUACCCAGUUGCACUCAAUUACAAACACAGAAGGCACACAAGUCCACUGGCCAAGACAAGCCACCCCGAGCCACUGGUGGGCUCUCCUUAAGAGCUGGAGGUAAGGCUGCGAUGGUGACCUGCCAUUGGGCGCGCUGGGACAGGGUGGACGAAUGGGUGGAGCUGGAGUGAACCUGUGGGGCUCCACCGAAACCAGGAAGUAGGCGGGGCUUCAGUCCACAGGGCCGCACAGCCUACUUGGUACAGACAAGACAGAAAUACAGACCACGGUGACAGCCGUAACAGUGUGUAUAUAUAUAAAAAAAACUCUUGCUUACUCCACCUUCAAAUGCAUAAUGUGUUGAGAAGGGAAAACAAAACUUUUAAGACUUUAUAAGUUCACCACUUUAACCAUAGCCUACUUGUAUCAAUGUUUAUUAGGCAUCAAUGGAGACUGCAUAAGGUAUGGGCACAAUAACAGUGGGUAGACAGGUAAAUAAUAUCAAUAUAUACAGCAAGACAGAUCACACCCAGGCCCCGAAUCCACCUCCUCAAAGUGAUCCACUCGCCACCGAGUCGGAGGUUCCUCUGUCAUCCUCACUGGCACCAUCAAGGUUGUUCCAGUUUUCUCCAUACGUUUGUGUCACUUUUCCAUUUUUUUACAAGAUGUGAAAAUAUAUUUAGGGUGUUAUUGAAUAAACAUUCACAUACAAAUACCAGUCUUUCAUGAGAUUUUAAUGAAAGUUUAUAUUUAUUAUACAAGUAUUUGAUUCUAUAGGUCAGAAUGACUUAUUAUACUCAGUCUUUUGUUCCUGUAGAAACUCCACGUCCGCCGUCGCUGGCAGUUAUCGACCAGCUGCUCAACAAACCCCGUGAGCAGAAAGACACACUGAAGCUUGUGGACCAGGACUACGCUGCUCUAGUUCACAACUCCUGUACAGACCCCAACAGCAUGCUCCACCCAACAACAAAACUACAUAUUCUACAAUAUGUAAAGCACCUCAGCAAAUUGUUGAACACCAGUUCCUCUUUAAACGUCAGUCCAGAAAAACUGUAAGAGAGGCAGAAACUCUCUGACAGAGGUGAGUGAGACCACUAGUGUGCCAGUUGUUACGAUGUCUGUUGCUAUUGUUCACCCACCUCCACCUGUUCAGAUGCUGACACAAGCUUCUAUUGAGAAGAUUGUACUCAACAUCAUGGAAAAGCAGCAGCAACAUAAACAGGAACAACAACAACAACCAAGUUAAUAUAUUUCAAUUACUAAUGUCUACAUGUGUAAUAAGUGAAAAUAAGUGAAUCACUGUAGUGAACAGUAAAAUAAGUUGGUCUGUAAGUACAAUCUAGUGAUAACCAGUAGACAGCAGAUUGGGGUAAACAUUUCCUUUAUUGUUAUUUGAGAAGGAUGAGGUAGGAUGGAGUGGGAGGUGAAGGAAGGUGUUCUUACAGGUGUCCAGUCUCAGGCACGUUGAUGUUGACGUCCUGGAUGGUCUGCUUUUUCUUCUCUCUUCUAUUUCUUUGUCUCCUUGUCCUGCAUCUUAUGCCUCAUUUUGUCCAUCUCCGUCUGCCGGUCUUUUUUUUUUUUUUUUAAGUACAGGCAGAUGUUUUCAAGGACUGUUUUGUUGUCCUCUAAUUCUUGGAUCCUGGUGAUACGGAUCUGAUGUUCUUUGGGGAUGGUAUUCUUUUUUUCAGAAUUUUUUUUUCAGGGUAGAUGGAUGAGAUAGGAUGGAGUGGGAGGUGAAGGAAGGUGUUCUUACAGGUGUCCAGUCUCAGGCACGUUGAUGUUGACGUCCUGGAUGGUCUGCUUUUUCUUCUCUCUCCUAUUUCUUUGUCUCCUUGUCCUGCAUCUUAUGCCUCAUUUUGUCCAUCUCCGUCUGCCGGUCUUUUUUUUUUUUUUUAAGUACAGGCAGAUGUUUUCAAGGACUGUUUUGUUGUCCUCUAAGUCUUGGAUCCUGGCGAUAAGGAUCUGAUGUUCUUUGGGGAUGGUAUUCUUUUUUUCAGAAUUGUUUUUUUUUCAGGGUAGAUGGAUGAGAUAGGAUGGAGUGGGAGGUGAAGGAAGGUGUUCUUACAGGUGUCCAGUCUCAGGCACGUUGAUGUUGACGUCCUGGAUGGUCUGCUUUUUCUUCUCUCUCCUAUUUCUUUAUCUCCUUGUCCUGCAUCUUAUGCCUCAUUUUGUCCAUCUCCGUCUGCCGGUCUUUUUUUUUUUUUUUUUAAGUACAUGCAGAUGUUUUCAAGGACUGUUUUGUUGUCCUCUAAUUCUUGGAUCCUGGUGAUAAGGAUCUGAUGUUCUUUGGGGAUGGUAUCCUCCGUUUGUUGGAUCUUAGCGAUCAGGCACAACUCAGUGAAACCACUGCUUGUGACCAUCUCGUGGUGGGUAUCCUCUCGGCAGGUUGUCAGAGAAAAAUGAAAUGAAAUGUGUGCAAUAUAAAUUAACAGUACAGUUAAUCAAAGCCGCCCAAUUAAAAAAUAAAAAAUAACAAAACAAUAUUUAAAUAAAUGUACAUGAAAUAAAAAUAAGGCAGAAAUGAGGUAAGGGAAAUGUGCAAACCUGAUUAGGUUGUAAAAAAAAUAAGCAGCCAGAGAAUCCUUCUGGGAUAUUUUUUUUUUUUUUAGAUCUUUCUUAUUUAGAUCUCUCUUUUUUUUCAGAUCUUGUUUUUUUUUUUUUUUUUUUUUUAGAUCUUUUUUAGUUUUUUUUAAAUUUCUUUUUUUUCAGGGUAGAUGGAUGAGGUAGGAUGGAGUGGGAGGUGAAGGAAGGUGUUCUUACAGGUGUCCAGUCUCAGGCACGUUGAUGUUGACGUCCUGGAUGGUCUGCUUUUUCUUCUCUCUCCUAUUUCUUUGUCUCCUUGUCCUGCAUCUUAUGCCUCAUUUUGUCCAUCUCCGUCUGCCGGUCUUUUUUUUUUUUUUUUAAGUACAGGCAGAUGUUUUCAAGGACUGUUUUGUUGUCCUCUAAUUCUUGGAUCCUGGUGAUACGGAUCUGAUGUUCUUUGGGGAUGGUAUUCUUUUUUCAGAAUUUUUUUUUCAGGGUAGAUGGAUGAGAUAGGAUGGAGUGGGAGGUGAAGGAAGGUGUUCUUACAGGUGUCCAGUCUCAGGCACGUUGAUGUUGACGUCCUGGAUGGUCUGCUUUUUCUUCUCUCUCCUAUUUCUUUGUCUCCUUGUCCUGCAUCUUAUGCCUCAUUUUGUCCAUCUCCGUCUGCCGGUCUUUUUUUUUUUUUUUUUUUUAAGUACAGGCAGAUGUUUUCAAGGACUGUUUUGUUGUCCUCUAAUUCUUGGAUCCUGGUGAUAAGGAUCUGAUGUUCUUUGGGGAUGGUAUCCUCCGUUUGUUGGAUCUUAGCGAUCAGGCACAACUCAGUGAAACCACUGCUUGUGACCAUCUCGUGGUGGGUAUCCUCUCGGCAGGUUGUAAAAAAAAAAGAAAUGAAAUGUGUGCAAUAUAAAUUAACAGUACAGUUAAUUAAAGCCGACCAAUUAAAAAAUAAAAAAUAACAAAACAAUAUUUAAAUAAAUGUACAUGAAAUAAAAAUAAGGCAGAAAUGAGGUAAGGGAAAUGUGCAAACCUGAUUAGGUUGUAAAAAAAAUAAGCAGCCAGAGAAUCCCUCUGGGAUCUUUUUUUUUUUUUAGAUCUUUCUUAUUUAGAUCUCUUUUUUUUCAGAUCUCUUUUUUUUUUUUUUUUAGAUUUUUUUUUUUCAGGGUAGAUAGAUGAGGUAGGAUGGAGUGGGAGGUGAAGGAAGGUGUUCUUACAGGUGUCCAGUCUCAGGCACGUUGAUGUUGACGUCCUGGAUGGUCUGCUUUUUCUUCUCUCUCCUAUUUCUUUAUCUCCUUGUCCUGCAUCUUAUGCCUCAUUUUGUCCAUCUCCGUCUGCCGGUC